AACACGUCAGGAACUUGUAGUGAGUCCCCACAAAUCCCCUGUGAAGUGGAACAUUUUUCAUCUGCCUCCAAGCAGGAGGUAAAACAUUUGUUUGACUUGUAUAAGGUCACAGAAAAAGAGAAAGGCAGAGAGCGCCAGAGCAGACGGAAAGAAGAACUGAGCUUAUGUUGAACCGAUCUCUAUUAGCCCAACAGGAUCAAGGAGGUGUGUUACAGCAACUCACAAGUCCAUCAAAUGAAGAUAUAUAUCAAAAUGGAGCAAAAUGUGAAGCAAAGAGGAGACGUGUCUAACCCUACUGUUCCUGCCGCAUAACCAGCGGGCGCAGCUAUGAAUCAGGCAAUGUGGGUUUAAGAUAUGGAUCACACUUCUGAACCAUGGAUCCCAGCCAAUGGCUACAUGGAUUUUUCACUCCUCGUUUCCACCACGUGGAAGUAGGUCCGGUACCAGGACUUCUUGUUAGAACUCCCGCGGAGGUCCGGAAACUGCAGAACGGGUGGGUCUGCAAAUAGGCUCGGAGUCAUUUCAUACACAUCCUUUCUGGGGUGGAAAAUUAGGGUCCACCGAAGGAGUCAGAGCCAUCUGUGACCUCCUGGAAAAUUGUCCUCAACAUGGGUCUGCUCAUAGUGCUUUCUUGCAAGCGGCAAUUGGGAGAGCAGUCUUCCCUCUCCUGCUGAAAAUAGACACUGAACCGUCAUCGCCUGGGGGCGGGUACCGGAGGAGCUGAGCCAGCCGGCUGCGCGUCCGGCCUCAAGGUGCCGCUUCUGUUCCUCGCCGACCCGGUCCUGGACUUGCCAGCAUCCAUCUUCAAGUUCUGGUAUUACUUCCUGGGAGCAGAUCGAAAUUGCCCAGAUCUGUUGUGCUUAGAUUCCUUA
Molecule: long non-coding RNA, 872 nt
Organism: Suricata suricatta (meerkat)
Lineage: Eukaryota; Metazoa; Chordata; Mammalia; Carnivora; Herpestidae
Exons: 3
Source: RefSeq, a predicted model, not a curated record